GGAGAAGAGGAGGAGAGAGAGAAAGAGAGAGAGAGAGAGAGCCGGGAUGCUUGUUAGAAGGCCUAUUGUGAGGAUUUUUCACAAGGAAAGGAAGUUCCUUCGUCCACCGAUUCGACUCGUUGGAAAGGUUUGCACUGCUGAUCGAGAAGUUUUCGCUUCUAAAGGUGGAUAAGAAGGAGACGAGGAUAUUGCCGAGUGUCGAAGCGGGGGGGGAGGGAGGGAGAGAGGGAGAGGGGAGUAAUCGGGAGUGAAAAGAAAACGCCGGCAGAUUAGCAUUUCAGGUUUUGAGAACCGGAACGAAUUGUGUUUCGAGUGCUGCCGUACGCGUACACGGCUACUUAGGUCCACUUCUGCCGCUCUUAACCCUCGACAACCCUCGCUUUAGCGUCCCUUUGCGCGUCGUUACGAUCUCUCUUUCCGACGUUUA
Molecule: long non-coding RNA, 427 nt
Organism: Apis dorsata (giant honeybee)
Lineage: Eukaryota; Metazoa; Arthropoda; Insecta; Hymenoptera; Apidae
Exons: 3
Source: RefSeq, a predicted model, not a curated record